This 1477-nucleotide ribosomal RNA is filed under the name human gut metagenome. Its description in RNAcentral is "bacterial SSU rRNA". It matches the Rfam family "Bacterial small subunit ribosomal RNA". The record is from RNAcentral.
AGAGUUUGAUCAUGGCUCAGGAUGAAUGCUGGCGGCGUGCUUAACACAUGCAAGUCGAGCGAGAGAGUCUCUUCGGAGACAAUCUAGCGGCGGACGGGUGAGUAACACGUGGGCAACCUGCCUUGUAGUGGGGGAUAGCCCUCCGAAAGGAGGAUUAAUACCGCAUAACAUUGCUUUAAGGCAUCUUAGAGCAAUCAAAGGAGUAAUCCGCUACAAGAUGGGCCCGCGGCGCAUUAGCUAGUUGGUGGGGUAAUGGCCUACCAAGGCGACGAUGCGUAGCCGACCUGAGAGGGUGAUCGGCCACAUUGGGACUGAGACACGGCCCAAACUCCUACGGGAGGCAGCAGUGGGGAAUAUUGCACAAUGGGGGAAACCCUGAUGCAGCAACGCCGCGUGAGUGAUGACGGCCUUCGGGUUGUAAAGCUCUGUCUUCAGGGACGAUAAUGACGGUACCUGAGGAGGAAGCCACGGCUAACUACGUGCCAGCAGCCGCGGUAAUACGUAGGUGGCAAGCGUUGUCCGGAAUUAUUGGGCGUAAAGGGCGCGUAGGCGGUGAUUAAGUGGGAUGUGAAAUACCCGGGCUCAACUUGGGUGCUGCAUUUCAAACUGGAAGUCUAGAGUGCAGGAGAGGAAAGUGGAAUUCCUAGUGUAGCGGUGAAAUGCGUAGAUAUUAGGAAGAACACCAGUGGCGAAGGCGACUUUCUGGACGAAAACUGACGCUGAGGCGCGAAAGCCAGGGGAGCGAACGGGAUUAGAUACCCUGGUAGUCCACGCCGUAAACGGUGGAUGCUGGAUGUGGGCCGUUCCACGGGUUCCGUGUCGGAGCUAACGCGUUAAGCAUCCCGCCUGGGGAGUACGGCCGCAAGGCUAAAACUCAAAGAAAUUGACGGGGGCCCGCACAAGCAGCGGAGCAUGUGGUUUAAUUCGAAGCAACGCGAAGAACCUUACCUAGACUUGACAUCUCCUAAUUACCAUGUAAUGUGGGAAGUCCCUUCGGGGACAGGAAGACAGGUGGUGCAUGGUUGUCGUCAGCUCGUGUUGUGAGAUGUUGGGUUAAGUCCCGCAACGAGCGCAACCCCUAUUGUUAGUUGCUACCAUUAAGUUGAGCACUCUAGCGAGACUGCCUGGGAUAACCAGGAGGAAGGCGGGGAUGACGUCAAAUCAUCAUGCCCCUUAUGUCUAGGGCUACACACGUGCUACAAUGGCAAGUACAAAAAGAUGCAAGACCGCGAGGUGGAGCAAAACUCAAAAACUUGUCUCAGUUCGGAUUGUAGGCUGAAACUCGCCUACAUGAAGCCGGAGUUGCUAGUAAUCGCGAAUCAGAAUGUCGCGGUGAAUACGUUCCCGGGCCUUGUACACACCGCCCGUCACACCAUGAGAGUUGGCAAUACCCAACGUCCGUGAGCUAACCCUUCGGGGAGGCAGCGGCCUAAGGUAGGGUCAGCGAUUGGGGUGAAGUCGUAACAAGGUAACCGUA